Molecule: long non-coding RNA, 676 nt
Filed under: Mus musculus (house mouse)
Lineage: Eukaryota; Metazoa; Chordata; Mammalia; Rodentia; Muridae
Description: predicted gene 45303
Source: RNAcentral
CCUGUCUCUUUGCCACGUGAGAGACCACCACAGCCCCAAGGCAUCAGCUAUGAGCUAGAAAGAAGCCCUUGCUGAGAAACUAUAUGCACAGUGCAUUGGUAUUAGACUUCCAAGCCUCCGGAGUGGAUUUCCACGAGCCAAGAAAAGCAGCUAUGUUCGAAGGGACGAAGCAUUGGCUAAGGUGCUUAAUAAUAAUGGUCUGUCUGAAGAAUCAAGGGGAUAUUGCAAAGUUGCAGAACCUUGCUGAAGAAAGAGGGCCGGUGUGGUGUGGAAUCUGAACUUUGAUGACAGGGAUCGACUGCCUAACUUCUGCUUUCUGACGACAAGCGGUGAUAGGACACGGUCACCUCAGGCUCUUUCUGCUGUACUCUAUGUGUCAGGGAAGACAGUCUCUGUGCUCAAACUGGAAGCUCACACGAGGCCAUUUGUUACUUAUCAGUUUGGCAUUCAGUCAAACACAUGGGAAGUCAUACAGGUUGGAAGUUCUGGCCUCAUGGAACCACCGUAAAAGCCCUAAAUGAAGGCGUCUGGAGUUCUUGAAUGGGAGCUACUGCCUGGCUAUUAUGGUAUAUAACAUACCCAACAGAUGAAAACCAGCUCAAUAUAAGAGAGGGAGUCCUGUGCCCUUCCACUGCAUUCUUCCCACACAGUCUGUGAGGCUGAAGACAGCUGAAGG